CCCUUAGAUGUUCUGGGCUGCACGCGCGCUACACUGAUUCGAUCAACAAGUUUUUCCUAUGUCGAUAGACACGGGUAAUCUUUUGAACUCGCAUCGUGAUGGGGAUAGAUUAUUGUAAUUAUUAAUCUUCAACGAGGAAUUCCUAGUAGGUGCAAAUCAUCAGUUUGCAUCGAUUACGUCCCUGCCCUUUGUACACACCGCCCGUCGCUGCUACCGAUUGGUUGAUCUGGUGAAUUAUUCGGACUGCCGGCUGAAGGGGUUUCCUCAUCUGCCAGCGGAAAGUCUUGUUAACCCUAUCAACUAGAGGAAGCAGAAGUCGUAACA
This 324-nucleotide ribosomal RNA is filed under the name uncultured eukaryote. RNAcentral describes it as "partial 18S ribosomal RNA". It matches the Rfam family "Eukaryotic small subunit ribosomal RNA", at positions 1470 to 1796 of the family's 1831-position model. The record is from RNAcentral.